AAAAAAAACUGAAAUAAAAUGAAAGCAAAACAUUUUCCAAAACUGUAAUUUUUGACAGUUUUACAGAGUUCCCAAGAUCAUAUCAGUCACAGUGGCUAGUGGUAGUUCGAAAGAGAUUAAGAUGGAGCUGCACACAAAACACGGAAGGAAAAUAAUCUUUUCGCAAUUGAUCACUAGUGCAGCCUGGUACCGAACGUGAAGAAUUUUUUGCAUAUCGAUAUAUUAUGGUAAGUAAAAAAAUCUAAAUAUUUUUCAAAAUAGGGGGUUACAGAUUUUAUGUGUUUUGUUUGCGUGAACAUUUUGUGCCGUUUGUGGGUGCAAGAUUUGGCGUGGCUAAAUAAUUUUUGGCACAUCAAAGAAAAUUGUAUAAAAAUUAUAUUUUUCAAACUGUAAGGCCCAUUUUGUCGAAAUCUUUGUAUGCUUCGUACUCAACCAAAUUUGUUGGGCUCCACAACAUUCUCAGUAACACGUAACAGAUGUCUACAGUAUUAUACACGUUACUCGUAGAGUAUAAUGGUAUACUAGAUUCGUUGAAAAGUAUUUAACAGGCAGAAGGAAGCGUUUCCGACCAUAUAAAGUAUAUAUAUAUAUUGUUGAUCAUGAUCACUAGCCGCUCUAACGCCGCAAAGCCGCCCAAAAAUGCUAAGCACACACUUUUAAAAAAUGUCUUAAAAUUUGUUCGUUUUAAUAUUAUCUAUUUUCUAGCUAUUUUCUACAGCUGUACUAAAAAACAUUUUGACCACCACAUUCACGCCCACGCUUUUUUUUCCAUUUCCUCUAGCUGAGUAACGGGUAACACGGCUUUCUCUUGUUAAGUUGUUUUUUUUUUUAGAAACUUAAUAAAAAUGUUUAUAAUUGGGUAGGUGCAAGCAAAUUUAAGGAAUUCCAUUUUAUAAUCACAGUGAGCGCCAAUUUGCUCUAAUCGUUAGUUAUGUCUUCACGGUCAUAUGGACGGACAUAUGUACAUACUGACGGACAGGAGGUCUCCAGAUAAGUAUAUAUACUUCAUAGGAACGAAAAGCAUCCUUUAACCAGUUAAAUACUUUAUACUGAAGUAUAGUAUACCCUUUUACCAACGGGGUUUUAAAUACAUUUAUUUAUUUUUAAUAUAUGUAUAUAUAAGCAAAUUAACAAUUGAGUGUACAUUUAUAAUUAAAGGGUUUUUUCAUUGUGAGCAUGUUUUUUAUAUAUACUGAUAUGAAAAUUUGGGGCUUAGAUACAAACAUAAAAACCAAUUAAGUGUACCCAGAAUUGAACAAUUUGGAAACAUAAUUACAAUGAUGCUUGUAUGAAAAUCAACUUAGCUGUCACAAGUAAUUAUUUUGGUUUGUUAUUUAAAGGUUUAUUUUACAAUUAUAAAAAAGGACAUUUUAUUUUAUAUACGAAAACAUGUAUGGUAUUUACAAACAAAGUUUCAGAAAAAUGUGUAAAUGGCAGUUGAUUUGUUAAAAUGCAUGCUAAAACGUAAAAUAAAAAGACAUCUGUGUAUGAAAAUAUUUCCAAUGACAUAUAAAAAAAUUACAAUAUUUUAAAUUGAUAAUAUUAUAUUCCUUGUUAAUCAUUACAAUUAUUCUUAAAAUUCAGUUUAAAUAUAUUUAUUUUGUACAGAAAAUUUACGUUUACAAGAAAGUAAAUCGAUAUCAUAUAAUACCGGAAAUAACUUUGAUUAAUUAUUACAUAGUUAAAUACUAACCAUUUCACAAUGUUUCUUUGAACGCCAAUGUAUU
Long non-coding RNA from Drosophila yakuba, 1727 nucleotides. RefSeq lists it as uncharacterized. NCBI's taxonomy places the organism in Eukaryota, Metazoa, Arthropoda, Insecta, Diptera, Drosophilidae. The transcript is spliced from 2 exons. The record is from RefSeq and is a predicted model, not a curated record.